GUGCUUGCUUCGGUAGCACAUAUACUAUAAUUAGAAUGAUACAGAGAAGAUUCGCAUGGCCCCUGUGCAAGGAAAAAAAAAACAUGUGCAGAGGAGUAGUCCAGUUGC
Hyla sarda is the source of this 108-nucleotide small nuclear RNA. The record is from RefSeq and is a predicted model, not a curated record. Lineage: Eukaryota; Metazoa; Chordata; Amphibia; Anura; Hylidae.